This 508-nucleotide ribosomal RNA is filed under the name Bifissio spartinae. Its description in RNAcentral is "bacterial SSU rRNA". It matches the Rfam family "Bacterial small subunit ribosomal RNA", at positions 369 to 876 of the family's 1533-position model. Lineage: Bacteria; Pseudomonadati; Bacteroidota. The record is from RNAcentral.
CAAUGGACGCAAGUCUGAACCAGCCAUGCCGCGUGGAGGAUGAAGGCCCUCUGGGUUGUAAACUUCUUUUAUGGGGGACGAAACCCCGGAUUUUUAUCCGGCCUGACGGUACCCCAGGAAUAAGCACCGGCUAACUCCGUGCCAGCAGCCGCGGUAAUACGGAGGGUGCAAGCGUUAUCCGGAUUCACUGGGUUUAAAGGGUGCGUAGGCGGGUUUGUAAGUCAGUGGUGAAAUCCCGAAGCUUAACUUCGGAACUGCCGUUGAUACUACAGGUCUUGAAUACUCGGGAGGUGAGCGGAAUAUGUCAUGUAGCGGUGAAAUGCUUAGAUAUGACAUAGAACACCGAUUGCGAAGGCAGCUCACUACAGAGUCAUUGACGCUGAGGCACGAAAGCGUGGGGAUCAAACAGGAUUAGAUACCCUGGUAGUCCACGCCCUAAACUAUGGAUACUCGACGUGUGCGAUAUGACAGCAUGCGUCUGAGCGAAAGCAUUAAGUAUCCCACCUGG